GUACAAAGAUGUUCCAAUCGUCGUGGUGGGGGCGGUGUAGGGACGGCAGAGAAACAAUAUUCUUCGAGAAACAGUGAAGUUUAACUCCAAUCCAGCGAACCUCUCCGUGAUGUGGGACAUGUUUUGCAUUUGUCUGCAAGGCAAAUUUGUCCUUCUCAAGGCCCCAUUGGUUUGAAGAUGUGAGGCAAAGUGCCCCUGUUCAGUGCAACUGGAACUAUGACUUGAAUCCUGGAUUAUCUGUAAAACCGGAGAUCAUGUAACUUAUGGGCGCAGUGGCUGUCCACUCUUCAUGCCAGCUAAUUGAUAAGGAAUAGUCGAAGGAAUCAGGAAAUGAUUAUCAUGUUGGGUCCCUCGAGGAGUUCGAUAGAACAAAUCAGAGAUGUGGGCAUCACAGCACUUAUUUGCCCUUCAACUGAUUGGUUUGCUAGGCCAUUUCAGAGGAUAAUUAAGAAUCAAGCACAUUUUGUGGGUCUGGAGUUACAUGUAGGCCAGAUCGGAUUUUCCACUAGCCCCAAGAACAAUACUGUUUCAUCGAUCAAGCAGUAGGUGCAAACCAAAGCUUGGAGGGGAGGGGAGCAGGAGUGAACGUGUCUGCACCUGGAAGAUGGUGAAAUCAUCCACUGAGGGAUAUAGCGGGCAACUGCCCCGGAAAAGGUGGUCUCGGAAACACCAGCCAAGGUUGUUGGGCUACGACGCUCAACCCGUCAAAGAAGGCCUCCUGAGAGACUUGACUUGUAAAUAGUUAUUGUGUGAAUAACUGAUGUGUUUGAAGCUUGUUAGUUGUACUUUUAAGUAAAGGGGGAGGGAUGUGGUAAAGUGAGGUACCCUGUCCCUUUAAGAGAAGGCAAAUGUAUUGAUCAUGCAACAGCACUGACAAAUCACUGUACAGUGCAGGCAACUGGUAACUGUAAGUCUAGUUCUGGAGGUUUCUGAGUAAACGCGUAUGAUCUGGUGCUCUGCCUUAUGUCUCAGUAAACCAUCACUGUUUAUUCUUACAUCAAUCUCUCCCCGUUAUUAAUUGCAAGCAAUAAUUGAUGAGAACAUAGGAAAGCUUGCGGUUAGAGUUCUGUUGGCCAAUGAACUCACUUCCCCAAGCCAUAGAAGUAACUAUAGUAUGGACCACCCCCACACCUCGAUCCCGCAUUGGAACCUCCGUCUAACCUUCCCCUUGAUCCACAUGACUACCCCCACCGCUCGAAUACCUUCCCGUCAAUCUAAUCCCCCUGACUACAUCACCAAUCUCUGAAUAUCCUCCCGCACUCCCAGUUACCACCCCCCCCUCCCCCAUGACCAGCUGGCCCAUCCUACCCCCACCACUGACCACCUUAUCCCCAAUCCAUACUACUCUGUCCCUACUCCCAGACCACCCAACGCUCUGAUCCAGCCUACCCAACCCCCGACUGAUGACCCGACACCCACCAAUGACCAGCUGACCCAUCCUAACCCCCGUCCAGUGACCACCUUACCCCCAAUCCUUCUUAAUCCACCAACCAUAGACCACCUAACCCACUGAUCCAUCCUACCCCCUCCACUGACUACCCAAAUCCCCCCAACCCGACAUCCCCACUGACCAUCCAAACCCCACUCCCUGUACCCUCCCAAGACCUCCCGCCCCACCCCCCACACUGACCACUCGCUAUCGUGAGCCAUCCGAUUCCCCCACUAUAUCCACUUCCUGCCCCCUACAUUUACAAAAGUGAAUGAAUUCAUGAGACACUCCUUGCUUGCCAUAUUUUCAGCAAAUAAAUGGAAACAUUCAGAAUCGUGUAAAACAUGUUGACAGAACCUUUUGCUGAUAGAUUUCUAAGAAAAACUAGUGAAUUUUAGGAAUUUGAAACCAUACAGAUGAAUAUGGUUAAAUAAUUGAACUACAAAUCAAUUAUUCCUCCCCAAUAUGUACAUUCUGACCAUAAAAUGUCAGAAUUCAUCUAAUAUUUGCAUAAAUAAUAUAUUAUUUGGAAUUAAAACACUGAAAGGUCUACUGUUGCUCGAGAUUUUGGUGCUUGGCAUGGGGAAUGUUCAAGGAUUAUCACCAAAUAAUACCAGUAUGCUGCUUCUGGCUCACACAUUUUUAUUUUGUUGAGAUAUCAGGUGGAUUGGAUUCCUUUUCUGUGCAUUUGUACCAAAAACAUAUACCUGCUCUUUAUAAAUGGAUUCAUGAUAUUGUUACAUGACAGAGAGUCGUUCUUCCAGGAGAACAGAAUGACAGCUGCUAUAAUUUAUACACACAGCUGAAAUGUGAUCCAUUGCUUUGGUACAUAGGUCACAGAGCACAGAAAGAGGCCAACUGGCUCAUCAUGCCUGUGCUGCUUCUUUGUUAAAAUGCAAAACUAAUUUUUAUUCAGGAAAAAUACUAACGUUACAGGUGGUGGGGGGGGAAGAAAGAGAGAGAGAGAGAGAGAGGAGGAGGGAUCAUGAAAGUGUUUUAGAACAUGGGAGGGGUCCUCAGAAGUGAAAAGGUUGAGAACCCCCACAUCAGCAGACAGGUGGAUUAAUCAACACGACAGUCAUGCUGGAGAUUUUCUUCAUCUGAAAACACUCAAUUGUGAUGCUGCUUUAAAGUCUUGGUUAUAUCAUUAUUGGUACACUUAAAAAUUAAACCUGAUCUUAUUUUUAAUAAAAUGAAUUAAACAUUCUAAUGUAAUAGCGCAGUAAAACUCCAGGGCACAAAAAAAUAGAAAGAAGAAAAUUGACUCAAGUUACCAAUCAUUCAAUUCACUAAAUAUAAAAAAACAUUUUGAUUCAGUUAUGUGUCUGCCUAGUUAAAACAUCAACUUGAACAGGAUAUUGUAUCCCAUUGUUCAUCAUAAUACAUCUACAUCAAUGGAAUAGCCUCUUCACAAGCAAAUCUGAUUUUCUGUCUUCUUGCGAUUCCUGCCCUUCCAUCAAGAUGUAUUAACUUUGGAUCACCAAUCCCCAAUCUGCCUUGAAUCACAAUUCUACUAAUCAGCUUCAGAUCGCCUUUCCAGCCCCAGAGUCACCUUCAUGAAUUUUUUUCAUCUUCAAGAUUAGCUCCAGGGAGGAUAUCUUCAACUCUGAUCAUUCCAGGUCUACCUCUUCCCAAUAGACUACAUCUGUUCUGACUUACUGAUAAAUGUUCACACAUCCCCUUCCAAGAUCUUCCUACUUCCCCCUCCCCUCCACCGCCCCCUGGGAGCCCUUCUUUGUUUCUGGUUAACCAUCAUUAUUACCCACUGUAUUUCCAUUUGCACUUUUAUUAAAAAAACACUAUGUUCCUGCUAAAUUUGUUGUUCCUGUUCUACCAGCAGACAUGAAAUAACUGCAACCGACCUCAGCACCUCCACCUCCUUACUUUCCUUACAAUUUUGCUCAAUUUGUUUAUUUCCUCCUUUGCUCCAGUUGCCUUACCUUCAAACCACAUUCCGACCCAUGAGGUUGGUUGCAUCCCCUCCCCUGGUGAGGAGGUGGUGGUGUCUCUACCCUUUAAGUCCUCGCUCUGCCCUCUGGGAGAAAAUCAAACACCCAUUCCCUUGCUGCAGCCCCCUGAGCAGGGUCCCUCAGGGAUCGGUGAGGGUGCCACCCUUGCGGCGGUGCCCCACUCCGACCCAACCUUUACCCGCAAGAUGUCAUCUGGUCUGCCAGGGGAUUGCAGCAGUCCCUUCAUGGCCCCAAUAACUGGAUCACUGGAUGGUGGCGGGGAGGAAGGCCACCCUGCUCUCUCCCAACAUUUAACACUGGGCACCACCAUCUUAGGCCCGGAGCUCUUUCGGACUCACCAGGUGGCCCGGUGCCCGGGAGGGAGCAGAGAUCUGAGCCGCUGCCGCCCUCUGACCCAAAUCCCCAAGAGGAGACCAGAGAGGACACUUCUGCCCUUGAUCCUGGGGGUGGGAUUGAGGUGGAGGUGGAGCCAACUGGCAGCUCCGAACCAGCCACCAUACUCAAUACGAGGGAGGGGUCGGAAACUGGAGGUGACAGUCUGGAGGAGGACGGAGUUUCGGUGGUAAGCAACAGGGCCGACUUGGAGUUGUUGUCGGGUGAGAUGGUGAGUCCCCUGAUGCCCUCUACCGACUCUCCCCUCAUCCCCAUUAGGGAUCUCCAGGAUUUCUUAGCGUAAUUGCGGUCGAUGAGACAGGGUCCAGUCGGCCCUGGACUGGUGGCAUUCUUUUCCUCUUGUGUUCUGGUCCGCCCGCAAGGCCCUCAAGGCUCCUGCGCUGGACCGGAACGCUAAGAGGGUUCACACGUUUCUCGCUGGGGGCCUGAAGGAGAGGAAGACUUAAAAACAAAGUCCUCUACUUUUAUUUCAGGCGUAGCAUAUACUUCUGACAAUAAAGACUACCAUAGCUAGCCUCAACAUCCAUGGCAGCAGGGACGCACUGCGCAGGUUCCAGAACUUCUUGGUCCUCCGGGAUGGGAAGUAUGCAGUGUGCUUCCUGCAGGAAACCCAUACCGUUCCAGGAGACAAAGCUACGUAGCUCCUGGAGUGACGAGGGGGGGUCUACAUGAGUCACCUUGCCUCCAAUUCUGGCGAGAUGGCUAUCUUGUUGCCUGCACAUUUUCAGCCGGAGGUCUUGGGGGUCAAGGAGCCAGUGCCAGGCCGGUUGCUGCACCUUGCUAUGCUCCUGGAGAGCGCAACGCUUCACUUUGUGAACUUGUAUGCUCCCCUGGGCUCGCAGCAGCAAGCGAGCUUCUUUGAGGAAGUGUCCACUCAUCUGGGCUCCAUCGAUGCGGGUGAGGGCAUUGUCUUCGGCUGGGGGGUGACUUCAACUGUACCCUCAAGGCCCGGGACUGUCAUGGUAUUCAGCACCGCACACUAGGUGUGAGUAAGUUGCGGGACCUAGUUGGGUCCUUCAACUCGGUGGACAUCUGGUGAAAUCUCCAUCCCAACUCCAGCGUUUUCACUUUCGUGUCGGAACGUCCAGAUUUGACCGCCUUUACGUUUCAAAGGCGUACGUGUCCUGCGUUCCGUCAGCUGCUGUACGGUGGGCGCCAUGCACGGACCACCGUCUGGUGUGGGCGGAGCUCGCUCCAUUCUGCACUCAGACGGGGUCCGCUUACUGGCACUUUAACAACCUACUGCUGGAGGAUGAGCGGUUCUUGGGCUCAAUACGAGGGGGGGGUCCGUCAUUUCUGGCCCAGCUGGAAAAAGAAGCGGGGAGGCUUCCCCUCCUUGAGGCUAGGGUGGGACUUAGGCAAGGCUCAUGUCUGUGUCUUCUGCCAGAGAUGCGCGAGGGGGUCGACAAAGAUGCGGAAAUCCAGGGUCCAGGAGUUGGAGAAGGAAGUGCUCAACCUGGAGGCAUGUCUCCAUCAGCUUGACGCGGACCCGGCCCUGUGGUUGGUGUACGAUGAGAAAAAGGGCGCGCUGCGGGACCUGCAAUUCGUCGGGUCUUGCCUCGCUACAUGAGGUCACGGAUCCGGUUCCUCCAGGACCUCAACUGUGGUUCCCCGUUCUUCUACUUGCUGGAAAAAAGGCACGGGGCCUGUCAGCAGCUCCUUACGCUGCUGGCCGACGAAGGAUCUCUUGUCUCGGAUCCGGAGGGCAUCAGGGCCAUUGCCCGAGACUACUACACUGCCCUGUUCUCUCUGGAUCCAUCCAGCGAGGAUGCUCACAGAAUUUUAUGGGAGGACCUGCCACAGGUCGGCCCGGAGGGUGCCGGAAAGCUUGACUCCCCUAUAAGUCUGGGGGAGCUGACCGGCGCCCUUGACAGCCUCUCCAGGGGCAAAUCCCUGGGGCUGGACAGGCUGACCGUGGAGUUCUUCAGUGCGCUUUGGGACGCGACUACACGGGGGUCCUGGGGGAAGAGUAUUGCAACUGGGGAGAUGACCCUUUUGUGGCGCAGGGCAAUUAUUAUCCUGCUGCGUAAGGAGGGUCUCCGCCUCCUUAAAAACUGGCACCGUCUCCCUCCUCAGCAUGGAUUACAAAAUUUUUGCCAGGGCCAUGGCUUCUCACCUUGACACCGUGCUGGACCACAUGAUCCACCCUGUCCAGUCCUACACCGUCCCGGGCCGUACCACCUACAACAAUAUUCAUCUGGCCCGGGACACCAUUCAUUUUCCCCAGAGGGCUGGUCUGUCAAGCACCUUCUUGUCUCUUGACCAAGAGAAGGCGUUCGACAGGGUGGAUCACGAAUACUUAUUUGGGACUCUGUGAGCAUUUGGGUUCAGGUCGCAUUUUGUCACCCAGAUCCAACUUCUGUACGCUACCGCAGAGUGUCUAGUGAAGGUUAAUGGUCCCUCGUGGCGCCCCUUCGCUUGGGGAGAGGGGUGCGUCAGGGCUGUCCCCUGUCUGGCCAAUUGUAUUCUAUUUGCGUGAAGCCUUUCCUGCACCUCUUGCGGAGGAGGUUGUCGGGAUUGGUUCUGCACGGGCCGGGCAUCGGGGUGGUCCUUUCGGCUUAUACCGAUGACCUGCUCCUCAUGUUUAGUGACCCGGCUGACCUGCGGAGGAUGCGCGAGUGCCAGGAGGUCUACUCUACCAUGUCUUCUGCCAGGAUCAAUUGGGAUAAGUGUUCUGGACUCCUGGUCGGUCCAUGGCAGAU
This is a long non-coding RNA of Carcharodon carcharias (great white shark), 6494 nucleotides long. RefSeq lists it as uncharacterized. The record is from RefSeq and is a predicted model, not a curated record. Lineage: Eukaryota; Metazoa; Chordata; Chondrichthyes; Lamniformes; Lamnidae. The transcript has 5 exons.